GAAAAUUCAAGAAUAUAAUUAAAAAAAAAGAAUAUUGAAAAUGUUAAAAAAUAUGUAGUUUAUAGAUAUUUUUCAAGGUAUUAGAAGAAAAUUAGAUGAAAUUAUAUUUUAAGAGGUUUAUUUAAUUUUGCAUUAGAAAUAGAAGAUUAUGUCAGAAAAAUAAAGAAUAUUAUAAGAAAUUAAAUAAUAAUGUUUUAUAUUUUUAUGUGAAAAUAUG
This 217-nucleotide unclassified non-coding RNA is filed under the name Hevea brasiliensis (rubber tree). The record is from RNAcentral. Lineage: Eukaryota; Viridiplantae; Streptophyta; Magnoliopsida; Malpighiales; Euphorbiaceae.